CCUACGGGUGGCUGCAGUGGGGACUAUUGGGCAAUGGGCGCAAGCCUGACCCAGCAACGCCGCGUGAAGGAAGAAGGCUUUCGGGAUGUAAACUUCUGUUCUGAGGGACGAAGAAAGUGACGGUACCUCAGGAAUAUGCCACGGCUAAUUACGUGCCAGCAGCCGCGGUAAUACGUAGGUGGCAAGCAUUAUCCGGAUUUAUUGGGUGUAAAGUGCGAGUAGGCGGUAAAGCAAGUCAGAUGUGAAAACUCAGGGCUCAACCCUGAGCCUGCAUUUGAAACUGUUUUUCUUGAGUGCUGGAGAGGCAAUCGGAAUUCCGUGUGUAGCGGUGAAAGGCGUAGAUAUACGGAGGAACACCAGUGGCGAAGGCGGAUUGCUGGACAGUAACUGACGCUGAGGCGCGAAAGCGUGGGGAGCAAACAGGAUUAGAUACCCCAGUAGUC
Molecule: ribosomal RNA, 443 nt
Filed under: uncultured bacterium
Lineage: Bacteria
Description: partial 16S ribosomal RNA
Rfam family: Bacterial small subunit ribosomal RNA
Source: RNAcentral